AGUGAACGCUGGCGGUAGGCCUAACACAUGCAAGUCGAACGGCAGCACAGUAAGAGCUUGCUCUUACGGGUGGCGAGUGGCGGACGGGUGAGGAAUACAUCGGAAUCUACUUUUUCGUGGGGGAUAACGUAGGGAAACUUACGCUAAUACCGCAUACGACCUACGGGUGAAAGCAGGGGAUCUUCGGACCUUUCGCGAUUGAAUGAGCCGAUGUCGGAUUAGCUAGUUGGCGGGGUAAAGGCCCACCAAGGCGACGAUCCGUAGCUGGUCUGAGAGGAUGAUAAGCCACACUGGAACUGAGAAACGGUCCAGACACCUACGGGAGGCAGCAGUGGGGAAUAUUGGACAAUGGGCGCAAGCAUGAUACAGCCAUACCGCGUGGGUGAAGAAGGACUUCGGGUUGUAAAGCCCUUUUGUUGGGAAAGAAAAGCAGCAGGUUAAUACCCCGCUGUUCUGACGGUACCCAAAGAAUAAGCACCGGCUAACUUCGUG
RNAcentral lists this ribosomal RNA (492 nucleotides) under uncultured bacterium. Its description in RNAcentral is "partial 16S ribosomal RNA". It matches the Rfam family "Bacterial small subunit ribosomal RNA", at positions 29 to 507 of the family's 1533-position model. The record is from RNAcentral.